GCCCUCACCGGCUCAUAGGCCACCACCAUCCAUUCGGCUUUCAAUCUAACCAUUUCCCUUUGACUUUAGAUCGGGAUGUAAGAAGAAGGUGGGUUGGGAAUGACUUAAUUCUGUCAUGCACUUAGCAGUUUUUAAGAAACAGAAUGAUCGGAUUUGUCGUAGGAUGACGUGGACGAAGGUUAGCCAUAUCUGUAUUUGCUUGGUGAUGGGAUAUGUUGCGUGGCAUCUUCCGCUGUCCAUCAAUUGGCUCCAUUUUUUUUAUAUGUAUUGUAAGAUGUAACCCUUUUUUUUAUCAUUAGUUAUGAUUAUAUUUUUAAUAUCUCCAGUUCAGCAUAGCUUCGGCUCACCUCUUCAUCCAGCCGAGCCCGGUAUAUGAUCCAUUAUUCAUAUUUGAGUUUGAUUAUUUUUAUGACAUGGGUAUUUAUUUAUUAUAUUUAAAUGUUAUUUGUACAAUCAGGAAAUCAAA
Long non-coding RNA from Gossypium arboreum, 466 nucleotides. RefSeq lists it as uncharacterized. Lineage: Eukaryota; Viridiplantae; Streptophyta; Magnoliopsida; Malvales; Malvaceae. The record is from RefSeq and is a predicted model, not a curated record. The transcript is spliced from 2 exons.